GACGAACGCUGGCGGCGUGCUUAACACAUGCAAGUCGAACGGAAAGGCCCUGCUUUUGUGGGGUGCUCGAGUGGCGAACGGGGGAGUAACACGUGAGUAACCUGCCCUUGACUUUGGGAUAACUUCAGGAAACUGGGGCUAAUACCGGAUAGGAGCUCCUGCUGCAUGGUGGGGGUUGGAAAGUUUCGGCGGUUGGGGAUGGACUCGCGGCUUAUCAGCUUGUUGGUGGGGUAGUGGCUUACCAAGGCUUUGACGGGUAGCCGGCCUGAGAGGGUGACCGGCCACAUUGGGACUGAGAUACGGCCCAGACUCCCACGGGAGGCAGCAGUGGGGAAUAUUGCACAAUGGGCGGAAGCCUGAUGCAGCAACGCCGCGUGCGGGAUGACGGCCUUCGGGUUGUAAACCGCUUUCGCCUGUGACGAAGCGUGAGUGACGGUAAUGGGUAAAGAAGCACCGGCUAACUACGUG
Molecule: ribosomal RNA, 468 nt
Filed under: uncultured bacterium
Lineage: Bacteria
Description: partial 16S ribosomal RNA
Rfam family: Bacterial small subunit ribosomal RNA
Source: RNAcentral